UUCUACACAUUAUGCCAUUGUUUUUGACAUAAAAAAAACCCCUGUUCGGCUAAGCGCAGACACAUGCACUAGAAUAGAAGCAAUAGAAGCAUAGCGAUCAUUAUACCAAAAACUGGUAAUUGUAAUGAACUAAAUUAGCAGUGGGCAGCAACAUACGUCCGAACGUCUGAACGUGAAAACGAGUCCGAUGCGCAUCUGAGAAGCCUGCGCUGCAAGGUUUAAAAAGAUAACGAGUGCACAAAAGGCCUAACAUCGGAGGAGCGUCUCGAAUCGAUGGAUCAAAAAAUCACUCGCAAAUUUGAGGUUGUGCUCGGAAGUUGCUGAGCUAAAAGUGAUGGUGGGCCAGCUUACAGCCAAUCAAUUAAAUCAAACUAACAUCUUGGCAGCUGCCCCAUAACAAGUUUCGAUGACCUCGUUGAUCUCAACGAAAAAAUUGGGAAGGGUAGUCGAGACGAAUACAUCAAUGAUUGCAUCAGCGCCUGCAUCCAGGCUUAGUUGGAUAAAAUUUAAAAAAUAUUUUUACUGACGGGGUGGGCUUAGACUGCAAUGUGGAUGGGGUGCUAGGCAAGAGGUGCCUUAAGUCUCUUGAAUCAAAUCCCAAUUUUAAAUAACAAUAUUUAAAAUAUUUCUUCAAAUAUAUUUUCAGCAUUAAUUGAAAUGGUAGGGCCCAGUGAUCACACACCUGCGCCAUGCUUUACACCUGCAAAAGAAGACGGUGAUUUCAAAAAGUAAUAAAAAUAAAGCUACGAAUAAUUGUCAAUAGUUAUUAAGAUUUAGAUUUAAGCCAGGAAGGAAUUUGUUGUU
This is a long non-coding RNA of Drosophila obscura, 804 nucleotides long. RefSeq lists it as uncharacterized. The transcript is spliced from 3 exons. NCBI's taxonomy places the organism in Eukaryota, Metazoa, Arthropoda, Insecta, Diptera, Drosophilidae. The record is from RefSeq and is a predicted model, not a curated record.